Small nuclear RNA from Zalophus californianus (California sea lion), 108 nucleotides. The record is from Ensembl. Lineage: Eukaryota; Metazoa; Chordata; Mammalia; Carnivora; Otariidae.
GUGGCUCUCUUUGGUGGCACAUAUACUACAAUUGGAAUGAUACAGAGAAGAUUAUCAUGGCCCCUGCACAAGGAUGGCAUGCAAAUUUGUGAAGCAUACCAUAUAAGA